GAAAAAAGGAGUGAUCUGAGACAUUUCGAACUCAAAUUUUGCACAUCACUGAGGAGCCUGAAUUUCAGAGGUCAGCCAUGCAACAGAGAAGUGUGUGUGUGUAGAGACAGAGGGCAGCAAGUGACUUCAAAACUGGAACUGUUUAGCACCUCCAUUGUUGGACGCCCCCCUCCAGCAAGAUCACUACCACCGGAUACGGUUAGAUCGGUUGUUCCUCCGUACUCGCCGCUGCACUGCCCCAGCACCUUCUGCAGGGCUUUGGACGCUCACCACAGCUUUGGCCUGCCCAUGUGCAUUACGAGGAGCUGCCUUAGCAGAUCCUCAACGAAUCUGAGUGGGGACGAGAGGUCCGGCCUGGGAGCAUGUGCCAGGGUGAUGCUUUGCCACCUGCAUUCUGACCUCAUCAGAUUUUCUAGCCUCCAGACGGUGCUGCAGAAAACAGUCGGCUGAGUGAUUUAAUACACAAUUUUCUCCCCUCCGAGCCUCUGCGGAUUUCAUUUCACAGUAGGGGGCACUGUGCUGCUGGAGUUUGUCAUCCUGAGAAAAGCUGCGUGAACUCCGGGUUUCCCAGAGGCAUAAAGAUUCCCGGGCACUCUUCAAAGUUACAAUUUUAGCUACAGUCUCUACGCUCAUGCCUAAUUAAGGUAGUUAUAUUUUACUUCAGUUCUUGCUUUGGUUUCUAAUGGAUUUUUCCUCCUCUUUCUCUCCUACACUGCUGUGCAUUGUUAAAGAGCUGCAGUGUUCCAUCCCAGAUAUGGCUAUAUUUUAGUGGUCAGCAAGUAGAUUGCUAUACUGAGUAUUUAGUUAAAUGCUUUGUGGAUCUUUCUGUAUAAAAAGACCUCCAUUGAGACUAAG
This 855-nucleotide long non-coding RNA is filed under the name Dromaius novaehollandiae (emu). RNAcentral's name for it is "lncRNA (ENSDNVG00000012714.1)". The record is from RNAcentral. Lineage: Eukaryota; Metazoa; Chordata; Aves; Casuariiformes; Dromaiidae.